CAAAAUGUAGCUUAAUUAAAGCCUUCCGCUUACACCGGAAAAAUGUCUGUGUAACCCAUACCAUUUUGA
RNAcentral lists this transfer RNA (69 nucleotides) under Rhacophorus malabaricus. Its description in RNAcentral is "tRNA-Val". It matches the Rfam family "tRNA". From Rfam's summary of the family: Transfer RNA (tRNA) molecules are approximately 80 nucleotides in length. Their secondary structure includes four short double-helical elements and three loops (D, anti-codon, and T loops). Further hydrogen bonds mediate the characteristic L-shaped molecular structure. tRNAs have two regions of fundamental functional importance: the anti-codon, which is responsible for specific mRNA codon recognition, and the 3' end, to which the tRNAs corresponding amino acid is attached (by aminoacyl-tRNA synthetases). tRNAs cope with the degeneracy of the genetic code in two manners: having more than one tRNA (with a specific anti-codon) for a particular amino acid; and 'wobble' base-pairing, i.e. permitting non-standard base-pairing at the 3rd anti-codon position. The record is from RNAcentral. Lineage: Eukaryota; Metazoa; Chordata; Amphibia; Anura; Rhacophoridae.